CAGAGACUGCAAGCGUUAUUCGGAUUCACUGGGCGUAAAGGGUGCGCAGGCGGCCAAGUGUGUGAGGCGCGAAAGCCUGGAGCUUAACUCCAGAAUUGCACCUCAAACUACAUGGCUAGAGCAUUGGAGAGGGUAGCGGAAUUCACGGUGUAGCAGUGAAAUGCGUAGAUAUCGUGAGGAACACCAGAGGCGAAGGCGGCUACCUGGACAAUUGCUGACGCUCAGGCACGAAAGCGUGGGGAGCAAAAGGGAUUAGAUACCCCUGUAGUCCACGCCCUAAACGGUGCACACUAGGUCUUGGCGGAUUCGACCCCACCAGGGCCCAAGCUAACGCGUUAAGUGUGCCGCCUGAGGACUACGGCCGCAAGGCUA
Molecule: ribosomal RNA, 372 nt
Filed under: uncultured organism
Description: bacterial SSU rRNA
Rfam family: Bacterial small subunit ribosomal RNA
Source: RNAcentral